CUACGGGGCGCUGCAGUAAGGAAUAUUGCACAAUGGAGGCAACUCUGACGCAGCCAUGCCGCGUGCAGGAAGAAGGCCUUAUGGGUCGUAAACUGCUUUUAUUUAGGAAUAAACCCCCGAACGUGUUCGGGGCUGAAGGUACUAAACGAAUAAGCACCGGCUAACUCCGUGCCAGCAGCCGCGGUAAUGCGGAGGGUGCAAGCGUUAUCCGGAUUUAUUGGGUUUAAAGGGUGCGCAGGCGGGCUAUUAAGUCAGUGGUGAAAUCCCGGGGCUCAACUCCGGAACUGCCAUUGAUACUGAUAGUCUUGAGUUUGGUUGAAGUGGGCGGAAUGUAGCAUGUAGCGGUGAAAUGCAUAGAUAUGCUACAGAACACCAAUCGCGAAGGCAGCUCACUAAGCCAAAACUGACGCUCAUGCACGAAAGCGUGGGGAUCAAACAGGAUUAGAUACCCCAGUAGUC
Molecule: ribosomal RNA, 459 nt
Filed under: uncultured bacterium
Lineage: Bacteria
Description: partial 16S ribosomal RNA
Rfam family: Bacterial small subunit ribosomal RNA
Source: RNAcentral